UGUGAAGAAGCCCGGAUACUGCCCAGAGUUCUUCCUCAGGUGCCCUUUCAUCCUCUUACCCCUGUGCCGCCGCGACGGAGGGUGCAACGGGGACAAGAAGUGUUGCUUCUACAACUGCAGGCAUCAGUGUAUGGAGCCGUGGCUCAGCUUGGAGUGAGGGAGAAACCUCUUCUUAACCAGACCUGAGAAGAUCCGUCGGACAGGCUCAGACUCGGCUCAGACUCGGAUUACUGAUCCCCAGUCCCUCCAAGCUCUCCUUACUUCCCAAGCUUCCUUCUAUCAGGAGUUAAAUGCUUAUUAACAUGCAAACAAC
RNAcentral lists this long non-coding RNA (313 nucleotides) under Ursus maritimus (polar bear). Its description in RNAcentral is "lncRNA (ENSUMAG00000025320.1)". Lineage: Eukaryota; Metazoa; Chordata; Mammalia; Carnivora; Ursidae. The record is from RNAcentral.